Molecule: ribosomal RNA, 1470 nt
Filed under: metagenome
Description: bacterial SSU rRNA
Rfam family: Bacterial small subunit ribosomal RNA
Source: RNAcentral
AGAGUUUGAUCCUGGCUCAGGACGAACGCUGGCGGCACGCUUAACACAUGCAAGUCGAACGAGAGAAGAGGAGCUUGCUUUUCUGAUCUAGUGGCGGACGGGUGAGUAACACGUGAGCAAUCUGCCUUUCAGAGGGGGAUACCGAUUGGAAACGAUCGUUAAUACCGCAUAACAUAAUUGAACCGCAUGAUUUGAUUAUCAAAGAUUUAUCGCUGAAAGAUGAGCUCGCGUCUGAUUAGCUAGUUGGUAAGGUAACGGCUUACCAAGGCGACGAUCAGUAGCCGGACUGAGAGGUUGAUCGGCCACAUUGGGACUGAGACACGGCCCAGACUCCUACGGGAGGCAGCAGUGGGGAAUAUUGCACAAUGGAGGAAACUCUGAUGCAGCGAUGCCGCGUGAGGGAAGAAGGUUUUAGGAUUGUAAACCUCUGUCUUCAGGGACGAAAAAAGACGGUACCUGAGGAGGAAGCUCCGGCUAACUACGUGCCAGCAGCCGCGGUAAUACGUAGGGAGCGAGCGUUGUCCGGAAUUACUGGGUGUAAAGGGAGCGUAGGCGGGAUCGCAAGUCAGAUGUGAAAACUAUGGGCUUAACCCAUAAACUGCAUUUGAAACUGUGGUUCUUGAGUGAAGUAGAGGUAAGCGGAAUUCCUAGUGUAGCGGUGAAAUGCGUAGAUAUUAGGAGGAACAUCAGUGGCGAAGGCGGCUUACUGGGCUUUAACUGACGCUGAGGCUCGAAAGCGUGGGGAGCAAACAGGAUUAGAUACCCUGGUAGUCCACGCCGUAAACGAUGAUUACUAGGUGUGGGGGGACUGACCCCUUCCGUGCCGCAGCAAACGCAAUAAGUAAUCCACCUGGGGAGUACGACCGCAAGGUUGAAACUCAAAGGAAUUGACGGGGGCCCGCACAAGCAGUGGAGUAUGUGGAUUAAUUCGAAGCAACGCGAAGAACCUUACCAGGUCUUGACAUCGUAUGCAUAGCUCAGAGAUGAGUGAAAUCUCUUCGGAGACAUAUAGACAGGUGGUGCAUGGUUGUCGUCAGCUCGUGUCGUGAGAUGUUGGGUUAAGUCCCGCAACGAGCGCAACCCUUACUGUUAGUUGCUACGCAAGAGCACUCUAGCAGGACUGCCGUUGACAAAACGGAGGAAGGUGGGGAUGACGUCAAAUCAUCAUGCCCCUUAUGACCUGGGCCUCACACGUACUACAAUGGCUGUCAACAGAGGGAAGCAAAGCCGCGAGGUGGAGCGAACCCCUAAAAGCAGUCUUAGUUCGGAUUGUAGGCUGCAACCCGCCUACAUGAAGUCGGAAUUGCUAGUAAUCGCAGAUCAGCAUGCUGCGGUGAAUACAUUCCCGGGCCUUGUACACACCGCCCGUCACGCCAUGGGAGUCGGUAACACCCGAAGCCUGUAGUCUAACCGCAAGGAGGACGCAGUCGAAGGUGGGAUUGAUGACUGGGGUGAAGUCGGAACAAGGUA